AGUGAACGCUGGCGGCAGGCCUAAUACAUGCAAGUCGAACGGCAGCACGGCAGAGCUUGCUCUGUGGGUGGCGAGUGGCGGACGGGUGAGGAAUACAUGGGAAUCUGCCCAGUCGUGGGGGAUAACGUAGGGAAACUUACGCUAAUACCGCAUGCGCCCUUCGGGGAAAGCCGGGACCUUCGGGCCUGGCGCGAUUGGAUGAGCCCAUGUCGGAUUAGCUAGUUGGCGGGGUAAUGGCCCACCAAGGCGACGAUCCGUAGCUGGUCUGAGAGGAUGAUCAGCCACACUGGAACUGAGACACGGUCCAGACUCCUACGGGAGGCAGCAGUAGGGAAUAUUGGACAAUGGGCGCAAGCCUGAUCCAGCCAUGCCGCGUGAGUGAAGAAGGCCCUCGGGUUGUAAAGCUCUUUUGUCCGGAAAGAAAAGCGCCGGGUUAAUACCCUGGUGUCCUGACGGUACCGGAAGAAUAAGCACCGGCUAACUUCGUGCCAGCAGCCG
This 498-nucleotide ribosomal RNA is filed under the name uncultured bacterium. RNAcentral's name for it is "bacterial SSU rRNA". It matches the Rfam family "Bacterial small subunit ribosomal RNA", at positions 29 to 517 of the family's 1533-position model. The record is from RNAcentral.